CACACUUAAGCUUACAUUAUGAGCUCCAAAUUUGAAGUUACACUCUAGAGUGAGAGACGGCUCUAGAGAGUGAGGGAAGGCAAAAUUUGAAGAAUUGGGCAAGGAGCUUGAAGACUGAGGAAGAUAACUCAAGAACUAGCUAGGAAUUUGAAGAUUAGAACUCCUAGGGUCAAGCACAAGUGCAAAACCAUCGGCAGAACACUGUGAGCAAAGAGAUGUCCAAACCCAACUUCGGUGAAGUAUGUGAGACAAAGUCAAGUCUUGUGGAGUCAGCCCGAAUGUCUCAUGCACGAGACUUUGUUUUUGUUUUUUUGUUUACCCUUUUUGCCAUCUUGGUGAAUACGUUGGAUCACCCAUGUAUAUAAGUUUGUUUUGUUUGGCUGACUGCAUGUCUUGAAGUUCCUAGAUGUAUAAGAUAUUAACUCUAUUUUUAUGUGUGAGUUAUUAUGGACUGUUCAAGAAAUGUUUUGCCUUAUUAUGUA
Camellia sinensis is the source of this 482-nucleotide non-coding RNA. The record is from RefSeq and is a predicted model, not a curated record. NCBI's taxonomy places the organism in Eukaryota, Viridiplantae, Streptophyta, Magnoliopsida, Ericales, Theaceae.